AGUCAUCUGAGUUGUGCGUAUGUUUGCUUUUUAAUUUGGGCCUAACACUCUUUGAUCAGGGAGCCCAAUAGGUUUUCUUGCAGCGUACACGCCUUAUUACAAGGACGUACAAAACGAGAAACAGGGCACCCACCUGUAUAUAGCAGGCCGAAUGAUCAAGCUACUAUAACUACGGCAACUCGGACUCUAU
Molecule: non-coding RNA, 190 nt
Organism: Staphylococcus simiae
Lineage: Bacteria; Bacillati; Bacillota; Bacilli; Caryophanales; Staphylococcaceae
Source: Rfam